UCUCCAACCAUAGCGCCACCUGAGAGCCACUACGGUCCCUCAAAAUGGCCGUCCCUCUCACCUCAGAUCUUCCUGGAACGUCGAAGGAAGCAGGUGGCGAUAUUCAGGUUCGACCUCUCGCGUGGCCGCCUCGGUUGGUGGCGAGACCUCAUUCCAGGUGGCGGACACACGAAAACCGUGCCAGAAAACGUUCGUACGCGACCACGCGUCAAGCUCGAUACGUUAGAACGGGGACCGCAACUGUGCGUCGCAAACGAUUUCCAUCGACGAGACCAGCCGUCGUUCACGACCAGCGUCGAUCCUCGCCUUUCAUCGCCUCGGUUUCACUCGGUUAGAUAUCCGUGAAGCAAGGAUACGUCGCGGCUACCUGCCAGGUGGAUCUGGUUCCUGGAAUUUCUUUCUCUUUGUCCGUUCGUUCGUUCGUUCGUUCGUUCGGCGGAAGACACGGUGCGCGCGCGGACACGAGGUGAUCAUCGACACCUGGUGAUUUCAAUGCUUGGUACGGGCGCGACGAGAGGAGGACGACGGAUGCCCGUGGCGUGAUAUCGUGCGCGAUUAUUUUCCUGAGUGUCUUCGAUCCCUGAUAAUAGGCGUAGCGUAGAAAAGUAAAUCGGUGCUCGGAAACCGGUGGAGAGAGAUGUUCCUCGAGCUGCAUCGGGACGAGUGUCGAGGUUUCUCGUGGACCAAGCUGGUGGACAUGGAAGCAUGAGAACGGCGCACUCAGUGUCUUCCACAUCGAGGCGCAGCUGAGGGAAGAGCAAGAAGAAGCAAGCACAAGAGAAACGGAAGUUAAACAGGAGGAUCCCGAUCGAGGAGGAGGACGAUGUAUCGGCCGAACUUUUACGAGAGCACGUGUCUGAGGUGCUCUCAGACCGUGUACCAGGUGGACAGGGUUGGCCCAUUGAAGGAUUUCACCUUCUUUCACGCGGGUUGCUUCAAGUGCGCUAUAUGCGGCACCAAGCUGACCCUGAAGACCUACUACAACAACCAGCACACGAUCAAUGAUAAAGAGGUGUACUGUAGUAGCCACGUCCCGAAACCGGGGCCGGGAACGUUGGACGGGUCCAGCGUGGGCAUCAGGUCCGCGUUGAACGUGCCAAGAAGUGGUUACGUCAACGAGCAGAUCAGAGCCGGCGGCGCGUCGCCACGGGGUGUUUAUCCACCAUGUUACGAUAAUGUAGACUCGCCUAAUUGUGCCAGGCACCUGAACGGACACGGUUCACCGCCGGCCACCAAUUCGUCCCAUCGUGAUCUUCAUGGUAACUCCGGUGGAGGGGCGUCCUCGCCUUACAACUAUAAUUAUUCCGGGGACGGGAGCUACCAGUAUGGGAGAUUCGACGCGAGCGCGCUUCACAUCGCCCAUGCCCUUAAGCAGACCGAGCUCCAGAAGGGCUACAGCAAGGCACGCGAGAAGCCCAUCGAUUAUUAUCUGGAUCGGGAUGAGCAAACGCGAUUGGAGAUGAAACAUCGUAAAGAAGAGGAUGACCUCUAUCGAAAAUUCGCUCACCAUCGCGAGGAGGAGGACAGACGAAUUCGAGAGGAAUUCAGGGAUGAAUGGGAGAAGGAGCUGGAACAAUUAUCGGCGAGAUGGGAACGAGAAAAAGGCGGAAGAGCCCGAGCCCAGCAAUUUCAACAGGAGAAAGAGGACUUGGAGAAGAACAUGACUCUUCGCAGGGACAAGAAGAAGGAAAGUCUCACGCGCAAAAUGUUGGAGCACGAACGGGCGGCGACCGCGGCGCUGGUGGAGAAACAGAGCUCGGAGAUGUUGGAGCUGAUCAACGAGGCGAGGAGCGAGUAUAUGCGCCAGGAGAGCUUGUAUCUCGACGAGGGGGACGGUUAUGCCCAGGAAGCGCCGCCUUUGCCUUAUCCGUCGCGUGCUCCACCCCCACAACCCCCAGCCCUCGCCAAGUAUCACAUCUACAAUGAUCCUCUCGAGUUUGCCGACAUGGAUCAGAUAGCUAUUUCGGUGGCUCAAGAGGAUCAGAAAACGUUCACUGAUCUGGUACGGCAGUUGGUGAGCAGAUGCGGAUCGGAUAUAGAAAAAGCUAGGACGAUAUUCCGAUGGAUCACCGUGAAGAAUCUAAACACGAUGCAGUUCGACGAGAAUUUACGCGGGGACACGCCUAUGGGCUUGUUGAGAGGAAUAAAACACGGGACUGAAAGUUACCACGUUCUGUUCAAACGAUUGUGCAGUUAUGCUGGAUUGCAUUGCGUGGUGAUAAAGGGUUACAGCAAAUCGGCCGGCUAUCAGCCGGGGGUUUGCUUCGAGGACAAUCGAUUCCGGAACAGUUGGAACGCCGUUUACGUGGCUGGCGCGUGGAGAUUCGUUCAAUGCAAUUGGGGGGCAAGACAUCUGGUCAAUGCCAAAGAAGUUCCUCGUCCUGGCCAACCGAAGGCCAAGAACGAUAGUCUGAGAUACGAAUACGACGAUCAUUACUUCCUCACGGACCCGCGAGAAUUCAUCUACGAAUUCUUCCCCCUUCAAGAGGAGUGGCAAUUGCUCAAGCAACCGAUUUCCCUCAAAGAUUUCGAGGAGCUGCCUUUCGUGCGCUCGUUGUUCUUCAGGUACGGUCUCUACUUUCCGGAUACGAACACGAACGCAGUCAUGUACACGGAUUCUACAGGUGCUGCGACCGUGAGGAUAGCCAUGCCAGCUCACAUGCAAUCGUCCCUAAUUUUCCAUUACAACUUGAAAUUCUACGACAACGAUGGGGACGGUUACGACGGCGUGUCGUUGAAACGUUUCGUCAUGCAGUCCGUCGUCGGGAAUAUCGUCGCGUUCCGUGUUCACGCGCCCUGCUCGGGGGCUUUCCUCCUGGAUAUAUUUGCCAACGCUGUCACGCCGAAGGAAUACUUAACCGGGGAGCCGAUGAAGUUCAAGAGCGUGUGCAAAUUCAAAAUCGCUUGCGAGGAAUUGCAGACGGUGAUGGUGCCGUUGCCCGAUUGCGCGAGUGGCGAAUGGGGCCCUACGAAAGCCACCAGACUUUUCGGUCUCAUACCAAUAACCCAUCAGGAGGCAUUGGUGUUCGCUGGCCGCGAGUUGGAAAUCCAAUUUCGAAUGUCGAGAUCGCUGACCGACUUCAUGGCGACACUGCACAAAAAUGGUAUCGAGGAAAAACGGUUGUCCAAAUACGUCACGCAUUCAAUCGCCGACGACGACGUGGUGACUUUCUCGAUCAGCUUUCCAGAGGAGGGCCAGUAUGGGCUUGAUAUUUAUACAAGGGAAUCGACCAAUCCGACAAACGUGCCGCAUGACAUCACCGGUGAAAAACACUUGCUCACUCAUUGCUGCAAGUAUCUGAUUAACUCGAGCAAGAGGAACUAGCCAGGAGUUCAUCAUUUCGUAUUUUCAUAUAUAUAUAUAUAUAUAUAUAUAUAUAUAUAUAUAUAUAUAUAUAUAUACAGUACACGUAGAGAUAUAACGAUUUCGCUGGCUCGAUUCGAAGAAACAUCGCGUGAGAGAUUGGCUCGAUGUGAUUUCAGAAAAAAAAAAAGGUGCUGCAAGUUCUCUUACCAUCCAAGCUCCUUCCUAUUUCCUCUUUCUCUUCUUGUUUUCUUCUCAUCGCGGGAUAUGGGGAACUCGGAUGUGUAAGAACUAAUCUUCGAGAUUAGCCUUUACUUGCCAGUAAAUUAUCCAUUAAUUAAUCAAGAGUUAAUCAAGAUGUGACGAAAGAUGAUGUUCACGAUGAUAGUACAACUGGAGGAAACGGAGGUGAAAGUACAACUGGUACUUCUUCGGACUGUAACUGAAUGCGAUGCGAGAAACUUUUGACAAAUGUCGUCCAGAUGUGCGAGAACGAAUUACGAUCUUUGACGCGCUACCUCCACAUUCUUUCUAGUUUAAUAAUAAUAACCACGAGCUUAUUGUUCAAAGAUGAUCAUCGAACGAGACACGUCUAACGUUUGAAGAAUUAUGCCGCGCAUCGUAAGGAUACGAUGUGGAAAAGAUGUAACGAGCAUAAAAUAAGCUCCGUUUAAUAGGAUAAGCUCUAUUUUUAAUAGGAUCAUACUCACACUCACACACGCCGAUUUUCUCUUUUAAUUUUCACGACCGAACCACCGUGUCGUCCCUCGUAUUUCCGCUAGAAAGUUGGCAAUUAUAAGUUAACCAGCAUUGGAGAUCGGUCUCACCGAUCUCCAAAUUAAUCAAACUUUCUCGCCUCGACGAGAGGCAUUAAUCCCCAGUUAUCUCGAUUUGUUUUAAUUCAAUCUCGAGAAUCUCGUGCGUUUCAUUUUACUUCGUUAAGCGAGGUGUUCUCGUGUAUGUAUAAAUUAUGCACAGAGGAUCGUUUCGAUCCGCUUUAUCGAUCGAUCUUCGAUAAGAUCUUCGAUUGCAAACGAAAUCGACGAAGAAAGUUUCCAAGGAUGGAACGCGUAUUUUGUUCCCAAGUCUUCUAUGUUCUCUUUGUAUUUUAACGAUGAUAUAUAUAUAUAUAUAUAUAUAUAUAUAAAAUAAAUUCCUUCUUUUCUUCUCGCGAACGACAAUCACCGCUGUCAAAUGAACGAGCAAUUAUUUCGAUUGUCUCUCGAAAACAUCGUGGAUAUACAUCGUGGUGAUGUUCCAUUCCAAUAAUUAAAUUAGGUUCGUUAAAGCAUAGAAAGCUUUUUAAAAUCAUUAAAUUUUUGCGGCUACGGUGGUUCUCGAAGUUCAGGUGCUAUAUGUUAUUUUGUCAGGAUUAGUUGCACGAUUCUAGUUAUUUUCGUAUGCGAGAGGCGUGGAAACGCUGAAACUUUUUCCAAUGGGAAGUUACAGCGGUGAAAGCUAACUGUAAUUGUUAAUUUUUGUAAUAUUAACGUCUUUUUCCUUUUCCCUCUUCUCUCUGUUUCUUCUAAUUCAAAGUUAUAACGACGCUUAUGCAAGAAAGUUCUCCACGAUUCCGUAUUUUUUGUUACCGGUGGAAUAAACUGUAACUUCGAGCUUAAUAUAUCCUUUCUCAUUAUUUCUAACGAGUAUGUAAAUUAAUUUUUAUACAUACUACAGAUACGCAAUAGAGAUUAUUGUUUUAUUGUAAAAAAAGAAAUUAAUAAAAUCUAAUUUUAUGGAAAUCCCGAUUUAUCUGGCGCAAAUGUAACGUAUAAUUAUUCUAUCUAUUCAAUUAUUUAUUAAUAUAUUUAUAUUUAACUUUUUAAUUAAUUAAAUAAUUAAUUUACAUUCAUAAAUGUUCUAGUUACUUUUCGUAUUGGUAAUGAUUUCCCGCCUAAUCUUUUGCGCAAGAACUUCACGAUUCCGCUUGAAGGUGGCAGCACAGUCUUCGUUUCCUGUUUCGUUCUGACGUGCCGGAGCCCGCGAUCUAAUUAAGUGCGACGAAGUAAACGUCGAUGUGCUGUGAAAAUACUUUAAACUGUGUCAUAUUGAAGACAAACUCCAAGUUUAAUUCGCUAAAGUGGAAAACUAGUGGUUCCAAGUGGCUGACACGACAUUCAAGACGAAGUUGAAAGCGUCGUCAACGAGCCACGACGAAACCGAGAGUUGUACAAGCCGGUACGAAAGAUAUAAACAAUCCCCACCACGCGUCUCCUUGAAUAAUCUCCGAAUAUAUCAGUCUUAAUUCGACUUCGAACGCGAUAACAUCGGGCUCCGAACCAAAACAAAUGGAGAAAUUGCGACGAAUCUCGAGGAUCCGUUCUCGAAGAAGGACAGCUUCGGAGAUUGGAGAUAUUUUUCGAAAGUCAUCGUCGCAUCACGCAUCUUGAAUCAUCGAGUUAUUCUGUUAUUAAGUGGCCAUUCUAUGACCCUCCUCUCGCAUACCUUAUUAGGACUGAUUACACCAUAACGGCCGUCAACUCAAUUCCCAGCUGUGGUCUUCUCGUCGCUUCGAAAUUCUGACGAGUCGUAAAAAAAGAAAAGAAAAGAAAGAGAAGAAAGUGCAGCGUAACAGGCAAAGAGUGGGGAAGGGGAAGGGGAGAAGGGUGGAUCUUAUCGUGUUUUCGAAGGAAAGGUGUGAAACGUUUGUCCCAUGGAAGGUGUCAUCCAUGUUCCGUGUAUGUUGGAAGCCGGAUUAUCGGGGCACCGUUUAACCGAUUAUCCGUGCCUCAUUUAUCUGAAUGCCUCGAAAAACGUGUUUAUGUGUGCGAUAGGGAUGGAGGAGACGGCUGCUUCGAAGGUAAGGGUCUCGAAGGUGGUGUAGAAAUGCACGGGAUUUAACGAAAUUAUUCUGAAUUGGACUCUUGUUAUGUAAUUUUAGAUUCAGCUUUUUAGAUCAGUAUUUUGGAAGAUUUAGAAGAAUAUAGAUUUUUUUCUAAAUCUUAUUCGUAAAAAAAUUUUUCAAAAUUUGCUAAUUUUUAGUAAAUCUGGCGAAUUAUUUUUAAAUUAGAAGGAAGAAUUUUUAUUUUCUCGAUUAAAAAUAAUCGGAAAUUUUUCUCGAAAGAUUUAAAUUAGGUUAUUUUCAUCGACUUUAGAUCUAUAUGUACUAUAAAAUAGUACAAUAUCACAUUUACGUCACGGAUUAAAUUACGAGGCGAGACUGUAAAAUUGAUCGCGUUAUUUAAAUUAUAUUACAAAACGUAUGUAACAUAUAUAUAUAUAUAUUUUCAAAACAGUUUGUGUAUUCGUUAUACGCGAAUAUAUUAGUUAUACACGCGUUAUUCGCUGCAUUAGCAGGAUGCGAAACGGUAAAUAACUCCAUGGGAAUAAUUACAAUAAAAGGGAAACGAGUACACAAACUGAAUCCUCAAGAGGAUCGUACAAUUACAAAAUGCAUUCGACGUAACGCAGUGUGUAAAACGCUCUUUAUUCGCGAGCCUCCCGCUGCGGAUCGGGUCCAUCGAGACCGCAUUAAUCUUCCCUUGAAUAACAAGUUUUUGCGCGGUUUUAAACGUGUAACAAUUCUCGUCGUCCCUCGAAAAAGUCCCCGUGAAAAAUUUGCAAUCUCAUCUCACUCUCGGUGACUGCGAUCGAAUCGAAUGGAAAUACUUGCUCGAUAUAAAAAGGGAGAAAAGGGCUUUCUCCGAGAAAAUAAUCGAAACGAAACGACGCGUUUAAUUCGGUGAAAGCAUUUCGAUAAAUUACGAUAAAUAUCAGCAGUAGGCCUCGGGUGACGCAAGUCGAAAGCUUGGAGAUAAAAAAAUUGGAUUGCAACCCUCGAAUCUAUUCAACGAGGAGGGGGAGAGGAAAAAAUCGAUAUUGAAUAUAAAUAAGAGGUGUGCCGCGAUUUUAAUAACGGGUGCAAAAUUUUAACAUUAGAUUUUCACGGGAAAAUAAUUGUCAAAAUUUUUAGAUUAAACUUGUUACGGUUUUUAUUAGGAUCACACUCUUAGGGAAUGUGUUAUUAUGCUCGGGCAAAAUUUCAAUCAUCCUAAUCGAACGAUAAUUCACUUAACGCGUAUCGAUAUAUUCACACGAAUGCUAAUGCAUUAUGAUUAGACAUCUGUCGAUAUUUUUUUCGCCCUUCCAAACGAUCGCAUUGAAUAUUUGAAUAUUUCCAGAGGGGGAGAGGGGUUGGUCGAAAUUAGGUCGUAUUUCACGCGGAAAUAAUUUGGUUAAUAAUUAGAAAACGACGGGCAUGAUUUUAAUACGCGAAAUGAUUGGUCACGGUUUUAAUAUUCAAUCGAAAUACGAAUGAAAAGGUUCAAAAAUAGAUUUUUUUUUAAAGCGUUACACGCAAACGGAUAUAUCGCUAUAACAUUUUCUUUUUAUAAGCGGGUAAAUGUUUUCAUAAAGCAAUUUAUCCUUUUGGCAAAAAUAUUUCACGAGGGAGAUAAUCAUUUCGAAUUUCCCUGAUUUAUCAUACUUUUCUUUGUUGAUGGCGUUGUAUAAUCGCGGGAGUGGCGAAUGAUAGUGAUGUUUUUCUGGAUUUUGCAUGUAUAUAUAAGGUGUUUCGUUAUUCGCGAGUAAUUUCUCGUGAAAGAGUAAAUUGAACAAGAGGAAUAGAAUUUUUUCGUGUAAAAGUUCGGAAAUUUUUCAAGCGCAAGUGAAAUUCGCUAUUUUGUAUUCUCCAAAUUUUUUCAAUCCCUUUCAUCAAUCGACUCAGAUUCUCGUCGUUUCGCAUCUUUUGUCAGAAGGAGAAAUAACGAAAAAAAUCCCGAAAAACUUGGAAAAUAACUAGAUUUGCAGGAAAAACCUCGUAGUAAAUAUUCUUUCUUUUCGAUCUGCUUCUUUAUUAGAAAUCAUCCCUUAUUCAACGCGUGUCAUGAAUAAUGGAACACCCUAUAUACCUGUGUAUACUCGAGCAUACGUUCGAAGGGAAUAGAGGGAGCGUUAAUAAAGAUGAGUGACGACGUUUAAUUAGUAUUACUCGGAAAGAUAGCUCGACACGUUAAUCGAGAGAGCAGUCGAAUGUCACGAGGAAUAUUUCGAGCAGGGAGCGCGUUAGAACGUGGCAGAUUUUAUAUCUCCUUUGACGAUUUACUAUUUAAAAAGAUCUCGUAGAUUUUAAUUAACCUGUGGCUCUCUCUCCAAAAUUCCUUCUGACCUUCCUCGAAACAAGCUUAUCCCAUAAGAAGUGGAAUCGUUAUCGCGAGAGGGAGCGAAAAAUCCUUAGAAUUAUCAAUAAAAAAGAAAAAACUCGGCAAAAGAAUCAAGCUGGUAAAGAAAUUCCCAUUGAAAGUUCGUUUCACCCGUUUAAAAGUUGCACUCGAUGAACGAUUAAACGGAGAAGAAAGGAAGAAAGAGGAGAGAAGGAACAUGAGUAAAACAAGGGAACAAAAGGAGAGGGAAGGUCGAGUGGGGAGAAGGAAAAACGGUGACGACGCUUAAUUCGCAGGAAGGCCACUUAUUAGCCGUAGACGCCUUCCAUCCCGGAGUGCACUCGUGAAUGUCGCGACUAUCGUUCCAAUUGUCGAAGACAAAGGGGCGGUGAAGGGGUGGGCACGGAGGUAAAGGGCGCGCGCUUCGAUGCUCUUGGAAUGAAACGGACCAUUUGGCAAGGGUGAGAGGAGGGCGAAGGGGAUAAAUAUGCAAGAGCGCCUCUGGGCUCGAGGCAAAAGGGGAGGAAGUUGGAUGUAUACAGGGUGGCACGUAACAGGGUGAUAUAAACGUAUGGCGGUAAGAGAAACGUGGGAAACGUUAAGAUUUCGAUUUCUGCGAGAAAAUGUUCAAGUGGAAUAAUUAAUUAAAGUUGAGAGCAGGAUGGAAAACAAGUUUUAUUUUUAAUCAAUUAUUUUUCGAGAAGAUUUAAUUUCAAUCCCUGAUAAAUUUCACGCGUGGAUAAAUAUCGUUUACAGUUCGUUUCCCAUCCCAACCACGAGUUGCCCUAUUUCAUCAAUACUUGAAAAUAUUUUCAAACUUGAAAUUCGCAAGCUCCAACUUUUCUUCAACUUGUCCCCUUCGCACGUUCAAAUUAUAUACUUGAUCAAUUGUCAUCAAUUACGUGACGUUACUCUACAAACGUAGACGCAGAAUGGAAACAGAAGACGGAAGCGGAACUAACUUCGAGAGGUUUUGUGCUCCCUGCACAAUUGUGUUAUUCCAGGCGACUACUAACUUUCCCCUUUCCCUUCCACACGCGAAAAUAUUACAUUCUUCGAGAUGAGGGGUCGAAGAGGGGGAUGGAAAUCUGGAGCGAAAUUUCCUUCGAUUCCCAACUCUCGUCUAAUUUAUUAUCGGCGAAUUGCGUAAUGGGAGGAGAGCUUCAAUUAUAUCUCGUUGGAGGGAGAGGUUGAAAAGCUUGUAAAUACGAAAUUUUCGGGGGACGAGAGAGGGUGUGGUAUGACGUUAUUUCGCGAAAAUUCUGUGAAAUUAUCGUGCAAUUUGGUGGAAUUUGGCGAGGGCGCAUCCCGGAGAACGGGGAUGGAAAUUCUUAACGUGCCGUCGUAAGAACACGUAUCGUUUUCAAUAUCGCGAACCGUUUUUCGUCGAUCGUUUUUCAUUUGACCGUGCCGCUGGACAUGUAAUAUCCCGUCCCUCGAUAAUUAAAUUUCCUUGGAAAUUAUCGAAUGUGGAUAAUAAAAUGGUGGGGGGAAUUCGAGGAAGGGUUGGCAGGAAAUAAACUCACCCUGGGGCACGGGUAGAUUGCUCGUGGAUAGCUCGGAAAAAUUCUAUACUUCGUCUUCUCGAUUCGAGAAAUAUUCGAGAUAAAUUUCCAGUUUAUUAGAUGUACUCUUUUUUUUCGUUUCCUUUGAUUGUUAAAAGUUUUAUUUUUUUCAAACAGAUUAUCUUGCGAUUUUGAACAACACCUAUUCAAUAUUCCCUUCCAUCCUUAAUCUUAAUAUCUCGUCGGAACCGCUUUAAAAAUAUCCAUCCAAGAUUCGAUCUUGACGGAAAUAGGAAGCAAAAGAAGAAAAUUAAGAAAUUAAAAAAUGGAAGGUCUAAACACUCAUCAACGAGGAACGAUUCGAUGGAGGUAGGCGUGCUCUAGUGGGCGAAAACAAAAACAUCGUUUCGAAUAAAUUGGGAACGAUAACUUUUCUCCAAUGGAAUCACCGAAAUUCCAUUCGGACAAGGAAGCUCGUGUAAAAGCGGAGAGAAAAAGGUUGCGCAGAGCCGGUGGAUCGUCCACUCUCGAGGAGGAGGAUCCUUGUGAAGUGAAUGGAAGCCGAAAAGCCGGGUGGCGGCGCAAACCCCUAUAACCCCGUGUCUAAUCCGAGUUCGUCUCGCUCGCUCACGGGCCAUCUCCCACGGAGUUUGUCCUUUUGCCCGUUCAUAGCAAGAACAGACAGAAGAGAUUCGAGUCACCGGCAGAUCGGUGGAGCAGUCAGUUUCCAGGAUCGAACGUUUCCUCGCGAUCGAACAGCUGCUCUUCUUCGACCACUCUUCUUACUUACACCCUCUCCUAUCUUUCCAAUCCUAUUUUCCUUCAAUAUUACAAAUAUUCGCAUGCCUGGAAUUAUCGACGACUGUUCGUUUCUCCAAGUUUAACCAGUUGAAUAAUUGAACUUUCGAGCUUCGAGUUUGUAUUAUCUAAAAUCUUCCUUAUUGCGUCCCUAUCCAUAAACAGUAAUUCUGUUCCACAUCGAUUCCAGUAGAAAUUAAAUUGAAUGUAGCUCGCGCGAAUGAUUUCUUCAAAUCACUCUUCCUCCCUGCAUUGUUCUAAUUAUCAUCGCGCAACAUAUCACGAACUUUCUCCUUGUACAUUGUGCAUUGUAUUCGUGAGUGUCAAAACCUCGAUUACAAAUUCCUCGGUGUUAUCGAGGGGCAAACUCGUUGUUCCUCUCCCCCGAAUUUCCGCGUAAAAAUUUCCUUUGCUCGAGGCUGGAUGGAGGUCGGCCACGUUUAUAAUCGGGUUCUCGAUUUCAUUACAUCGGAGGCGCGACUCGAGGUUUUUUGUCCUCGAAACAGCUCCGCAAAAAUGUAUUCCCCGGCACGUUUUCUAUCCGAGAAUUUUCGAACUGGGAGAAGGGGAGGGGGGAGAGACGAGGAGAGAAGGUCUUUCUAAUAAGACAGUCCUUUAAUAAGCGAUCCGGCGUGUGCCAUCUAAUUUGCGUUAUCAGGCCCGUCUCGUUAGCAGUUGUGCUCCCCCUCCCUUCCUCCCCCUUGUUCCCGUGGAAUAAUUAAAACCCUGCGACGUGACGCGACGAAACGCGGAAUCUCUGACGCUGGGAACUGGGGCUGUUGGAGAAUCUGGAGAAAAGAGUCGCUUCGAGUAAGAAUAACGAUAAUAAUGAGAAAAGGAGGAAAGAGUAUAAACCGUCCUCUUUUUAUUUCGUUUUCAUCACCGAUCGAUAUUCGUUUGGAUAAUAGAAAUCGAAUGAACGAAAAACUGGGGAUCAGAAAUGUUCAAUGUAUCUUCGUGUUGCAAAGUAGUAUCCCUAUUCCUCUCGUCCCUUCUCGAGGUUUUUAUUAAUUUUCGAUACGUUUGCGUCGCGACGCGAGAAAGAUUUCGAAAUCGCAGCUUUCGCGAACGCGCACAGUCACUCUGUGGGAAAAACGUGGAACGAUUCGUCAGGGAUCGAAGGGAACACGUGUUCCUCUCCGUGACCAAUUUAACCGGAUACCGGAGGCCUGCCUAUACUUCCACGAACCACCACCACCCUCUUAUCCACCCGGUAGCGUGAAGGAAGGAACGUCAGUUGCACGCAUGCAUCUGGAUCAUUGUCGGCCUUAGAAGGCCUGCGGAGGUGGAAAUCGCUUCGAAAUUCGGGCACCGUGACAGCGUUUCGUCGACCGGCAACAUCGGAUGGAACGGAUCCACCUAUUGAAGUUGCACGCUUUGGCUCGACACGCUGGAUAAGCGAAGGGAACAGGAGACCAACCACGAUCCUGUUGGCCGUGAAUAGUCGCCGUAGGAGAUGAAAAUGCGAGGAAGGAUCCGUCGGUGGGGGAAAGGGAGGCUAUGGCCGGGCGGCACGCGCAUCGACGCGUAUCGACGACUCGGAAAAACCGCGGCAAUCUAGGGGAUUGCUCGUGGAAUCGGUUUAAGAAGCGGGUGCAGAGCCCUCUCCGAUUUCCUGGUGUUCUUGCGCGGCGACGUGCUGCUUUGGGUGCUGCUAAGGAACGGCAGGGAUAAACGGCAGAGCAGAAGUAAGUUUAGGCUGGUGAUUGUAAAAGAAAAGAAUCGUCGGUGGGUCAUUAUCUUGGGGAAAUGUGUAAAAUUGCGUAGUUGCGGUUUUACGGGGAUGGAAUACGCGUGAUCCUAUAUCCUCGUAUAUAUAACAAGAUCGAAAUUUAAUUGAGAAAACCAUAAUAAUAAUAAUAAUAAUAAUGCAAGCGUAAGAUAUUUACAAUUAUGUUGAUCCAGGCUUGUCAAAAAUUAUCGACGACUAAUUCCUUCCUCCAAAAUAUUAUCUCGAUUUCCUUCUACAAUAACCUUCGAUUCAGGGAAAGAAAAAGAACGUUGGAAUAUAUUAAAUCCGUAAUAAUUUCAACUACCUUACCAAUGAUGGAGGACAAAGAGCGAAGGGAAGGAGGACCGCUCCUCUCUUCUCCGCGACCAAAUGACCAUCUCCAUAAAAAAAUACUAUUACGGUUUCGAAAUCGAACCCGAGGAAGGAAGAGAGAAGGAAAAGGAAAGAAAAGAAAAAAAGAAUGAGAUUGGAAAAGGGAAUAAUCGAGGGUCAGGCGGCCGUUAAAAAUGGCCCGCGCGCAAAGUGCAGAGAGCGUGCAAUGGGUAAACGGGUGGAGGAUCGUGCAAAUACGAGGGAGAAAGGGGGGAGAGAGUCGUUAGGUGCCCGGGGCCAGGGCCGCCAUAUUUUAUUACUUAAACGGCAUGCCGGGUAGGUUGUUUGUUGGUUAAACAAGGAAUUAAUGCCGCGGUAAUCUGUCAUUAUGGGAUACUCGUGCAGGAGGACCAACCCUCGUAGUUGCAUGCUCUCCUCCUCCUCUCUCUUCUCCCUCUCUGUUUUGCUCUGCUCCGCAUAAUUUCCAAUUGGUUCCCUCGAGAAGGAGAGAGAAAGAGAGAGAGAGAGGGGGGAAAAAUGAAAGAGAGGAUCGAAGGAGGAAUCGCACACGUCGAUCACGCUAUACGCGCACCGAGUGUGGCGAUCCAUAGUCGAAAAUGCCAAUCGAAUGAAUAAUAGACGAAGAAUCAAUGUUCCGGAUCCUAACCUCGAGUUUUCGUCCGGUUUAGCAGGUAACCCUCGGCGUAUCGCUUCCGCUAACUUUCCGAUCGAUCUCGCUGCGGACGCCAACGGAAAUUGCUACUGCUUUUUAGCCGUGAAUUUUGCUCUAUGAAUUCGCAAUUUCUCUCUUCUUUCUUCCUCUGCCUGGAUGAACGCGUGUCGCGCAAACUUUCUCUCCUUACGUUCGAUAUCGCGAUCAUUUAAACGAUUAAACAAUUUUGUUGCUUAGUUAAUUAUUAUUGUAUCAUUGAAAAAAGAGAAGCAGGAUUUAGACGAUAUAUUAUACAAAAAGUGUAUUGAGUACACUUAAAAGAAUAAGACUGCCAGGAACAGCAAUCAAUUUCAAUUGUUUGAUAAAAAUUUUCCGAAUAAACGAGCGCAAAACGUACAACAAGCGAAAGCGCACUUGGCGUGCAUCGUCGAUAGAGAAUUGAAUAAGCGUGAAGAGCCUCCAUAUCUAUAUAUAUAUAUAUGGAAUAGCCGAUUAUUAUCGCGAUAUAACAGCCGUGGAGAAGUCUGAUAAUUGGCGGGAGGAAGCGUAAUCACGGCGUUAACACCGCUUUCGACAAAUACCAGCGAAUUUGCGAUUCAUUCACCGAUCGAUUUUUUCGUCGCUUCGAUUCGGUCCCCAUAUAAUUAGUAGCAGUUACCAGUUACCAGCAUCGUGGCGUUUGAUCGACGUGCCGCGCUCUAACCUCUCGCGAUGAUGCAAGAAAAUUUUAAAGGGCUCUCGAAGCUUCGAAAAAACAGUUUUAGAAGUUUGGCACCGCCGAUCACGAUGUUUAAGAUUCCUUAAGUACGUACACAUGUCGAACCGGGUCUAAGUGGCGGCAGUGAGUGUGUUUACUUGUACACGAACACAGGGGUGACGACGAUGUUGGGGGAAGAAUGAUGUGUGGUGAACGAGAGAUUUAGAACGAGAGAUUUAGACCGUUGAGGGGGAGGCUCUCUGGAGAGGUUUGAGAGAAAGAGAGAGGGAGAGAGACGCUUCUCCGUGGCGCAAAGUGCUUGAAAAGAUUCGUCUUUACUUAUCGUUACUUAUCUCGUCGCCAUUGAUUUAUUGCCACGGAUCCAUUAAUCCAGAAGAAUUCGUGAUAUAUUUAGAGAUUGGACAAUACGGUGGAAUUUUUACACUUGGAAAAUAAACGAAACGAUUCUAUACGUGAAAUGUGUACAUUUUAUUUUAUUUAAAAAAAACUCUUCUUUUACAACUCUUCUUUGACACCGAACUUUAUACCGAAUUUAUCGAAUCUUGCUCCUCCUUCUCAUUCACACAUUUGAAAAUCGUUCUAAUCCUUCUAAACUUUCCCUACGUAAAAUGUAAAAUGUAAAACCCUGCCGAUAUUUCUCAAACGAUUGCCAACUUUCUCUUUGGCGUCAUCGACGGUGACACGCGACGAGUGUCACUGUCAAAACGUCGCACGUGUUGGAAUUAAGACGCUCGUCGAACGUUUAGAAAACGUUUCUUUGGAAAAACAACAAAAAUGGACAACAAAAAUCGGCGUGGAACACGACGUUGGGAACGUCACCAAAAAUAAUGGAGGCUCCCUCGGGGCAGAGGGCGUUAACGGGAGGAUCGAGCGGCUGAUUGCAGCGAACAAGCGUGUGCACACGGCUGCCCUCUAAAUGCAGGAAAUAAUGCAUUUCGUGAGCCAGUCAAUCGGUCAUCUUAUUACCAACCGAGACGAUGAGCGGGUAUGACGAAGGUGGUCGGAUCAUCGGGACCAGACAAUUUAAUUGUUCGAACUUAAAUGGGGAGCAGCUGCCUCCUGGUGGCCUAACAAGCUGGUAAUAACCUACCUCCUAACCUAUUCCUCUCUUCGUCCGAUCCUCUCCACCUUGUUCGUGGAUCCUCGUUUAGAGGUACGGUUAAAGGAAGGAUAUUAAACGUUCAAGCUUAUUUAUUUGAAAGCGAAUUCAUCGACGAAUAUUAUUUUCCGGCCUUUUCCUCUCUCUUUUUUUGGUUAAUUUUUGGAAAGGCAAUUUUCGAUUAUUGAAAUUAGAAAUUGCUUGGGCGGAAUUUUGAUUUUUAAAUUUUUAAAUAGGUGGAAUAAUUGGAAUAAUUGAGUGGGGAUACGGUUAUGAUUGAUCGAAUUGUGAAAAAUUUAUAUCGAUAAUUAGAGUUGGAGCAAGAUUAAUAUUUAAUAAGGAUGUGUUUAACAAUCUUGAAAAAUUUCGUACAAAUAUAAAGGAAAGAUUAUAUAGGAAAGUGGUUGUAAUGAUCGAGUAAUAAUAGGUGAGAGAGUGGGGAAGGAGGAAUGGAAGAAAGAAAAGUAAAUAUUAAACCGGGAAACGUGAAGCCCACGAGGUCAGUACGUGCGAGGAGCUCGAGCAGUUUUGAUAAUAGUGUAAAUACGAACAUUCGGAAAUAUACCUUUAUUAAUAUAUUAUUUCAUCGUAAAAUAUAUAAGAUAGUGUUUAUAUACGUAUCAUUGAUUCUAAAACGAGAUUAUUUACAAUUUAUCUGUCACAAACAUACAAACUCGAGAAGAAUUUUAUUACAAUGUAAUUGUAAUCGUAAAUGAUUCGAUCGUAUUUAUAUAUUAAUGAAGCGAUUAAUGAAAGAUUCGAGGAAGAAAUUCCCUUCAAAACAUUGUAUUACAACGAAAAUUUAUAUCUCUCUUACACGUAUAUCGGACAUUAGAAAAACUAACAACAUACAUAAAUGUAUUCGCCAACUUCUACGAAUCGGCUGUGAACUACGUAUCCUCGGUGUCGAAAUAUCUACGAUAAAGAAAUACCAAUUCUCAACUGUCACGAAUUAUUAUUCGCAGCCUAAUUAUCAUUACAGACUCGAAAUAAUCUACAAUAAUCCCUCGGAUUAACGAAGGAAGCGAUGAGGAGCGGUGGGGAAAAAAUAAGAGAAGUCUAAUUCCGUCUUAAUCAUUCGGCUGGACAGGUUCUCGGAGACCUGUUCCUCGUUUCGCGUCAGGAAUCGGCCGUUCACGCGCACAAAGUCGGAGAAGAGAUAAUCCUGUUGGAUUCCAUCGGACACGUCGUUUCGUCGGGAACGAGAACAAUUCGAGUUCGGUGGGAUGAUGGGGGUUGGAACGCGUUGCGUAAGAGAUUGGACGCAUCUCUCUCUCCGGCCGCUGAGAAUGGUAAGCGGAGGAUUCCGUUAUGCCACACGGUUAUUGAUAUUAAUCCUUUGGACGAGAGGGCGCCACCGAUAGGGAAAUUAAAUUUCCCGUGAAUUCUGGUAAUUCAAUAACCUAUAGAACCGACCGACCAACGCCUCGUUACCGCGAGGAUAAUUAAUUUUAACCGGUUUUUAGCAUCGCGCGCUCCAAAUUUUGAUAUUCCUUGCUUGCUGUUGGCUUGAUACGAUUUAAAACGGAACGGGUAUACCGAAUAUCGCAAUGGGGAUAUAUCGCAAAUUGAAUUAUUCGAAUAUGUAUGUAUAUAUAUAUAUACAUAACGGGGAUAUUAAAAUGUAUUACGCGCGAAUGGGUGAAAUUGGAUAUGUUUGCAGUUGUUAUUAUAUAUCGAUUCAAACAUUUUGUCCAACAAUUUUCGCGCUACGAUUCGGUUUCAACGCGCGCGAUUUGACCGACGAGCGCCCCUCCUCGUUGCUAAGAUAAUUAUUAUCAAUCUUGUUCGAAUCGAUGAGAAUUCGGGUGGACAGAAAGAUAGCUUUUCGCGGGAAUAACACGAAUUACGCGAACAAUGAUGUAAAAUAAGUUUACGAGGGGGCCCUUUACUUUACCUUGCCAUCCUUUGAGAUAAAAAUCUCUCGCGUUCCGCGAAAGAAGGCCGCGAUUAUCCGGCACGGAGAUCGAUCCCUUCCUUCUUUUUCUCUCAUUCUAUCCUCCUCUCGUUCGAAUGAAAAAAAGAAAGAAAGAGAAUUCUUCCUUUCCCCUUCCAUCGAAAAAUCGUACACGUGGCCGAUUACGAUUUCCCUCUUCGCCUUUCCUCGAGUCACGUUAUUAUACUAUUUCAAUGCACUCGUGACAGCAUCCGAAAUAUGUCUCGAGAUCCGUCCAUGCUUGUUUUAUUUUCCCAUUCGAGUUCUCAAUGAAUAAAUUCGACGGUUGAAAAGGUAGAACUAGUUUUAAAAAUUUCGAAUAAUCGGACAUAAUAGCGACUCUAAUUCUCUUUCAAAAAUCAUUAAAAUCCGUGUCGUCGAUAAUUUUAUUUUUCUUCUUCUUCUUCUUCCUGUCCACCGCUAUAUUUUCUUAGGGUUGGAAACGGCGCUGGGGGAAUUACUCCGCCUAGACCCAGUAGAUCCGAUACACGCGCAAGAGGGGGGUGUGAGAGGCUCGUAUAUAAUAAUACAGGUCGUGAUCGUUUCCCCGGGCAACAUUAAUAGUACUUAUCUUCCGUACACCGCACACUAUACGUGGCAAUUAUCGUCCAAUCUUGGAAGGACCACCACCACGACUCCAUACGAUAUAUAACCCUUGCCGGUUUGUCGAACGCGUGCGUGUUGGUUCGUUUUUCGAUGAAUCCUCCUCCCCUUUCUUCUCCCCCCUUUUUUCUCAUUUUCACUCCAUCUCCAAACGCUCAUCGCGAACAAUCGUUUCCUUUUUUCGCGACGAAAAGCACUCGAGGAGCGUAUUCGUUCCUUUCCUUUUCCUUUCCUCUUUUUAAAUAAGCUGGAUUAUUACUUUCAUCCAGAAUUAUUAAUCUGGAUUCUCGAGGAGGAUUCGCAGAAGACACAAAUUUCGUUUGCCAACGAGGUGUUGGUGGUUCCAUUCGGAGAGCUUCUCCCCCGUUGUUGGAGGAGAGGCCGAGGAACGAAGCGAGAUUUAAAUUUAAUUUAACGCUUUCACGUGUUAAGCGUCACGAUAACGAGCCACUGACAACCGAUUAUAAUAAUAAUCGCGGUGGGGGAGGGGGAGGACGCGUUCGAGGUAUUUGGAGAACAGAGCUGUAAAGCCGGGCCCGAGAUUAACCCGUCAACGUUGGCUGGCCUCCGUUGCUUGCUGGCCCCAAUCCCCCGAUACGGUUGUAAUUUAAGCGGGGAAAGAGUUUGGGGGGAAUAACCGAAGGUUAACGGGGAUAAUUAAAUGUACACUCGUCCGGGUAAUUGAUAUUUCGAGCAGAUAGAGAACUCUUCCGCUCCCCCUUUCGGCGGUCCGAAGAUCGAAUCGUUCCGAUAACUUUCCACUCUUCUUUAAUUCUCCUUUCUUUCUCUCUCUCUCUUUUUCCUUUUUUUAUUAUCGUUAUUAUCGGGGGACAAGGAGAGGAAGGGGAGAGAUUAUAAUCGUUAAAGAAACAUUGUCGAAUACAGCGCGAAAUUAAGUAGAGAGGAAUCCAAAUUAAGUGAAUCGAGGGAUCUUUGAAUCGAAGGUUUCGCGUUGAACACGAGAUUUUAUCCGCUAUUGGACGUUAAAAGAUAUAUAUAUCGGAUGAUAUUCGUACGUAUAACACGUAAGAAUUGUUAUUCGUUAAAUAAAAGAAGAAAAUUUGUAAAGAGCAUUAGAAUUUCGAAUAUCCGUUUACACAGAGGGAGGGAGAGGGGGGAGUUUAGAGCCCGUACAAAUCGUUUAACGUAGGCCAGAAUGGCCGACAUUAGCGGAACAAUAUUUGCUAUCCUUUCUUCAAACUCAAACUUCUUGGAAACUCCCUUAUUAGGCAGGUAGAAAAGAAAAGGAAAAAAAGAAAAAAAAUUAGAAACCUCCCUCUUCGCUUGACCAGCUUUUUUGUCGGCGAAGAGGAAUCCCCGAAGAUAUCCCUGGAACAACGACAACAAUAAGAGUUACAACGCUUUACGGUCCUCGAGGCCAAGGUAACCAGAGAGUGGAUGACUCGUUGCUUGUUUAGGACGGAAGUCUGUCGAGCAAACUUCGUCACGGCGUUUCCUUAAAAGUCGUUUGAAAUUACUGACUGACCGAUCGUCUGUUUGGUCGGUGGCGUAAACGAGACGGUUGGCUGGAAAACGAAGGCGUCUUAUAUUAAAGGGAAAAGAGAAAAAGAGAAAAAGAAACGCCAUAAGUGGUGGUGGAAGUUUCAAAGUCACGUUCUUUCGCCACGGUCGAAUAAAUAUCGCGUUUAAUGGCGAAACAUUGGCUGGCCAAUGUUGCCGGAUGCGAUGUAAAUGGUAAAUGGUAAUAAGUAACUAUGUGGACACGCGGUGCGCGAAGCUGGUUUGGAAAAUAACGUAUAAUUAUAUAGUCAAGUAUGAUCCUUUUGAACGAUAAUAAAUGGACACGAUAUAAAUGUAUUGGUUUAUUCGGCAUUUCGAAAGUGGUAAAUAAAUGGAUGGAACGGUGGGAUAUUUCUCUUUUUCUUAUUUUAAUAAAAUAAGAUUCUUUUGAAAGAUAUAAAUUGAUAUAAUAUUAUAUAUAUAAUACGAAAUUAACGCAUUGAUAUUAAUUUUUAUUGUUUUAGUUUUUUUUUUUUUAUUUUCGAAAACGCAGAAAUUUUUGCACGCCUCGUUUCGAUAUAACUCGUAAUUGAAAUCAGUGUUAUUCGCGAUUAUCGAGUAAUUACAAUCAACAAUAGUUCAUCGAAGGUUCGUCGAUAUAUAUAUUUCGCUCGAUAAAAAUUACACACCCGAUGAUCGAGAAAUUAUCGUAGAAUUAUUGCAAAUUCAUGGAAAAAUUAUUCGUGACAAUUAGCCACGGUAUUUUUAUUAAAUCCUUUCGCCCAUUUUCGAAAAAAAAGGGGGAGGGUAGGAAAAUAUACCGUUCCGUUUCGAUAAUAUACAACGCGAUGUAAAUUGGAAACGCGGCACAUAAAUUUGCAUUUUAAAACGUUUUAAAAUUAUCGGGGCUGAAACGGGAUCUAAUAUCAACGUCAUAUCGAAUUUACCAUUGGAACGAAUUCAGGCAAACGCAAUGUUAAUACUUUUUAAGUUAAUUCAUUCUUGCCACGGGAUUCUAUUGUUGAUUUUUUUUUCUUUCUUUCUUUUUUUUUUUUUUAACAAAUCGAAUUUCGUAACGCGUUUCCACGAUUACGAUAAAUUCGAGUGAAAAAAAAGGAAAAAAAAAAAAAAAUAGGCGGCUUUUAACGAUUAAAGAUUUUCGUUUGAUAUUUGUGGAAUUGUGCGAUUGAUAAACAUUUAUUGGCGAUUCUCGAAUUCGAACACAUCGAAAUAAUUUCCAAGUGUUCUUUCGUGUAUAAAUUACAUUUUAUUAUUCAUACGAAUGUGAUCAUAUUUUCGAUUACGGAUACGAUAUCCGGGAAAAUAAAGAAAUAAUUGUAUACGUUUGCGCCAUGUUUCGAGCAUCGUCGAAAUUUUUGAACGUUAUAUUUUGAUAUCAAAAAAAAAAAAAGUAGAAAAAAAAUAUCGUAGAUCAACAUAUUAUAAAUAAUCUUGUGAAUGAAUAUACGCAAUUUCAGUUUUAUUACAAAUAUAUUACAUUCGUAUACACGUUUAAAGAAUACUGAGAAUGUCGAGAGAGAAAUUUUCUUAUUACGAAAAUGACACGGUGUUCAUUUUCGAGAGAAUAAUAAAAAAAAAAAAUGUUGAUCGAGAUUUAUUUAUCGAGUUAUAAGAUCAACGAAAUGGAAACAUCUCUCUUCAAUCGCAACUACGGAUUAUUAGAAUAUUUAUGCAAAAUAUAAACCCUCCUUUCUUCUAAAAUUUCUAAAUUUACCAACCUUUGUUCCAGUCUUUUUUCUUUUUCUUUUUUUUUUUUAAAUAUAUAUUAACACCCUCCGCCAUUGCACACGAAUCACGAAGAGGGAAACUUCAUUAACGGCCUCGUGAAUAACGAAACGUGUACUCGGCGCGUACUACCCGCGAUAGUAUUUAUCGAGUUCACAUUAAUAGUGAAAGCGCAGUGGGUGUCGCUUAGUCGCUCGAGUGGAGGCCACUUAAGAAACGGGUGGCAAGGUGCAAGGAUAUAUACACGAAAGACGAUGAUCGCCGGCAGCUGUUGACGCUCCAAGAGGAGGAGAAGGCCCCGCUGUACGAAUACACGUUAACGACAAGCGACUGGUAACACGACGAGGGUGACAAGGGGUGGUGGUGGUGGCGCGAUGCACUUGGAAAACUUUCAGGCGGUUCGACUCGAAAAGUUGACUCGUUAAAUAUGAAAACCGGAAGACAACGCGGGACAGAGGAAGAGAUUCUUCCUUCUCUAUUCUUGGUCGUCUGACACGCUUGAAGAGAGGGCGCUGAGAUAAGGGGAGAAGAGGGAGAGAGAGUUUCUUUCUGGUUUUUCUCGGAUGAUCGUCGAAUGGUUUUUGGGAAUUUUACGUGUGAAUUGUGGGAAGGGGAGGUGUGUUUUGUCUACGUGCUGCUCUAAGAAUCUCGAUAUUUACACGAAGGGAACUUUGUGCAUCGGUUAUGCAGUAUUACGCAACACCCUUCUCCGAGUAUUUGAAGUUCGUCAAAGGAGAGAAAUUGCAAUCUUGUAACGAGGUCUUAUUUAUAUCUUAAAAAAGAAAAAUUGUGUCGCCAAAGGAAACGGUUCAAGUUUCUCCUCCUCCUUAAAUUUGACGAACUUCGAUCAACGUGUAAUAAAAACGUGUAACUAAUAAAUGAAAGAAGAGAAGAGAGAGAGAGAAAAAUCAUUAUUUUAAAAUAAUUUAAUUAAAAUCGAUCGACUAACAAACUGCGCUGCACCAUGUACCAGGAUAAGAAGAACGGAAGGAGAGAAAGCGAGUGGAGGAAGAAUACAGAAAGAAAGGAGGGGGAGGAGAGUUGCAAGGCGGAUGGGUUGGGAAGAAGAAGAAGAAGAGGAAGAAGAAAAAAAAUCGUUAGACGAUUUUCUAGUAUCGGGCCAGUGUUGUCGGCAGUUUUAAUGGCAGCUGAACCACUCCCAUGGGCCGCGGGAGUACCUGAAAUAUCGAUCUGGACGAGGAACAUCUUGAAUUCUGGUACCACCAGAGGUAGAGAGGUAUCGUGUACACCGAUUCCGAGCCGAGGAAACGAUAAGACUUCCUUCUUCCCCUUCUCCUCCUACUUCUCCUCUCUCUCUCUCGUCCUGCAUUCGUGGCCUGUGCGCAUCAACAUCUCUUCUCCGGCCAAGCCUCCUCUCUUCCAACCAUCCACUCUCGAGUGGACCAAUGUGAACGGGGCUUUGUGAUGGCAUAACGAGCGUAGAGAGCCUCUCCCAUGCCCCGUGUAAUCUGGUCUUCGGGUAAUUGUACGUUAUACGUCCGGAGAGGGAGAGAGGAGCUAGGAGCGAGAGUUUGCGAAAAAUCGUGGCUCAUUCGGGUAGAAGUCGUGGAAGGGGGUGGAGGGAGAGGGUACACUCGAGGCGGGGAGCGAAGAGGAAGAAUAUACGAGAUGCUCGUGGAAUGAACAAAGAAAGAGAGGAAGAGAAGAGGAAGCUCGAGGUAUUCGAGGAGGAAGAAAGAGGAGAAGUAUAAAAUCGUGGUAAGUAAGAAAGAAAGAAGAAGGAAAAAUACGCUGAUAACGAAGAAAAAUAAAUUACUCGGGGCAAAGAAGAAGAAGAAGAAGAAGAAUAUGCUCGUGACGAAGAGAGAGAGGAAGAAUUCGUUCUUCCGGAAGAGGAAGAAGAAUAAUAUAUUCGAAGAAAAUGUACGAGAUGGACGAGGAGAAGGAGGAAGAAAAAGAAGGAGAGGAGAAAGAGAGAGAGAGAGAGAGAGAAGAAAAUUGCGGGGAAGAAGUGGAGAAUGCAGAAGGGGAGGAAGAUAACCGAGGUGGGAGCGAGCGUUGAAGGUGAAGAGGAUGGAAGAGGAAAAGGAGAGGGGGCGAACAGUGUGUGAGAACACGCUAUCAGCGGCCUCCUCUCGACCCGGGGACCACACCGCGAGACCACCGUGCGUGCCUUCGCCUUUCUUCGCCAAUAUAUCCGCGAUCAAACAUCGAGAGGCGAGUGGAUCAUUGGAUAUUUACUGGGCCUGGACCACUGGGGGCCUCAUGAACACUGGAUACCGAAGAGGUUUGCGGUUUGCACCAGCUCCUCCCAAACGAAACUGCCUAACACCUGCCCGUUAAUUAAGGCCCAUUCGCAAGGAAUUCGUGCGUUUAGGUAAUUCAAUUCGAUCCAACACUGUCUGUCGAUUUAAAUAUCCCAGUGUAAGGGGAUUUGGAUCGGCCAUUUAGUAUUUAUCCAAAAUUACACGUGGAACGCGGACGAAGGGGGCCUUGUUGCCCGGCCGUUUUAUCGGCUCAGGAUGCGAUAAGCGGUGGCUGAGGAAUAAAUACAGGGAGGUAAGGAGGAAAGGGUAUGGUGGAGGUAAGGAAAGAGGCUUGGGCCGUUUUAAUAAUUCACGCGAAGAACCGAUACGGCCGCGGAAAAUAAAGAUGUAGGCCCAACAACGGCCAUUUUUCCUCGUUAAUUGAAGGAAGCGAGCCCUUUUGCUUGGUAGAUCGUGAUAAGCCCCGAGAUCCACCAACCAAACAACGAAGAGGGGGGCCACGGUUUCAACGGCGGAGGAGCGGCCUUCUUCGCUCGCCUUCCCUUAACAGUGCACCAGCAGCCUGCUCCCCGUCUUGUAAACCAUUCCUCUUUCCACCUCGUGUAACAUCCUCGUGUGCAUUGUGCGCGCACGAUAAUGACGACGAGGAAGAAAAUUAUCUAUUAUGUACUUGGAGAAUCUUGGACCAUCUUCGAAUAGAGUAGAGAGAGAGAGCGAGAUGUGGUAUUCGAGAUUUCCUCGAGUCUCAUAGAAUUUUUGCUAUAUUUUGAUACUUUGGAUGGAAGGUGAACAGUUUCGAGGAGUUUGUUAGCUGGGUGUGAGAAUCAAUUUUAACUUUUUUUAUUUUCUCUACAUUCUUCAGGCGGUAAAUUUUAUAAAAUUUAAACGAUCGAGAUAUCUAUGAUUAAUAGAUUUUGAAUACAGGAAAAAACAGGUGUAUAUUAUAAAUGAUAUUUUUCACUGCGAAUUGGAAUAAUAAUAAAAUCAAAUAUGAUAAUUUGAAAGUGUAAUAAUACAGGGAAAGAUUUGUAUUUAUAUUUUAUAGAAUUGUGUAGCACGUAUUUAUCGGGAAUUAUACACGUAUAAGUACCUCGUUAAAACUAUCUCGUGUCCCGUUUAAUAAUCAAUGACGCAAAGAAAAUGCGCAAGCUUUUGCUUUACACUUUAUAAGAUAAUAGACUAUUUAUUAUGGAAACGUGUUUUAUCCUGCGUGUUAGUUUACGUGGUCGAAGUCCAAUGCAACAUUCGCUACUAUUAUCCCACGGUUUAAAAUUUAAUACACACUUGCUAGACAAUUUAUAGGUGAGAAGUAGCCGUUUCGUGGUAUCAUCGUCGAAAGAAAGCGAAUAUUUGUCGAAAAAUCUUUUCUAAAUCGAUCCUUUCUAAAUCUUCCUAAAUCACACGUUCCAGCACGUAUCCUUGGACGUAUAUUUCAUUCUCCAAAUCGUUUUUCCCCUCCAAAAAAGAAAAAAAUCUUAAAAUUAUUCUUCGUUCCAAGUAAAAAAUUUUCCUCGCUCAAAAGAACACCCUCGAUUUUCACUUUCACGCCCAAUCGAUACCCGAUCCUCGCCUCUUAAUAACUCUGAAAGUCGUCCAAAUCAUCCACGUGGACGACACGUGGACAAAUGUUUGGGCACAAAGGCGUUUCGUUUGGAAUCGGUGGACAGAUGUUUCAGCGUUCCUUUGAUCCGUGAUAAUCCGCGAUUCGUACGCGGUAUCGCGCGCUGGAUGAAGAAGACAAACGGGAAUCGAAACGUUUCGCCUCCUUUAGGACAGAGAAAUCGAUGAGGAGAGGGUCUAAUUAACAGAGAGGCUCGUUCCCUCGUCAAUUGGCCCAAUUAAUUCGUCUCGUUACGGCAUAUAACGACAUUUGCGUGCAUUUGCAUCUGCCAUCCGCGACGAUCGAAUCUUCUUCUUCGAAAAUCGAAAUCGUUCGAUCGAAACUUGCACACGAUCGAUUCCCUUAACUAGCUAGUUAAGGAAGAAUUAUUUUUCGCUCGUUCGAAUUUCAUGCGAUACUCGACUUUAAUCGAAAUUAUUGCGGAGGAAAUGCUCGUGUAACAGCGCACGCAAUUUUGACGUAAAAGUUUUAAUCCGCGCCACUCCAUCUUCAUUUACCUGUCACUCAUCACUGUGUUUAUGCAAAUCGCAAAAAUAAACUUGAAAUUAAAAAUCUCUUUAUAAGUAUAUAUAUAUAUGUUUUUUUUCUUCAUAUCGCAAGCUUCCCCUAUCAAUCUCACACGAUAUAAUAUUUCCAAUUUUUUACCGAUAUCGCGUAUAAAUCACAAAUAUUGUUAAUUUUAAUUCAAUUUCCUUGGAAUCUAAAUUUAUCAAAUGAACACUUUUUCCUCCCUUCCGUAUAUAAGAAAAAUUCGAUUAACGGAGAUAUAUUUUUAUUCCUCUCCGGAUAUAAUCAACCCUUCGUUUCCUUCGUGAAAACACCGCGUUCCUCCCCGAUAGUUCCUCCACGAACUUCGCCACGGCCACGUUUAUCAGCGGAUUUCUUCGAACGGACUCUUUGCACCGCGGAGAACUUUAAUUCAAUCAGUGCGGAUCGAUGGAUAUGUGUGUGUGUGUGUGUGUGUGUGUAGACGAAAUCGCAAACGCCACAUAAUUCCAUCCGAGGUAUCGGCUUUACCGGGAACUGUCCCGAACUCGUCUCGAACCGGCGAUCUCCCCGACAGUCUGGAAAGUUGCGGCAUUACGACCGUCAUUUUUCCUUUUAUCGACUCCGCCGAGGAUUAAAACCCGUCGAAUGACCCGGCGAAAAUAGCGAAACUGUCUGAAAAACGUCGAGCAAUUUGUUUCCUUUUUCCUUUUUUUCUUUUUUUCGAUUCCUUUUUAUGAAAUUUGGAAAAGGGUAAGGGGAAUUCGAUCACUCUUCGAAAUGGGGUUUUCAGUAUUUUUUAAUCUUCCGAUAUUGUUUGGAUUCGAGGGAGACGGAGUGUUUCUUCGUUGUUUGGAAUAAUUUUUCGAGGUAAUUUUAUUGUAUUUUGGAAAAAUUGAGUUUGAAUUGAAUUUUUUGAGAAGGUUUUUUUUUAGAAGGAUUGUUAAAGAAAUUUUGGAAAAAUUUUUGAAAUCGCAAGAAUUUUUUAUUCAAUUCUAUGUAUAUAUAUAUCGUAAUAAUAUCAAGCUUUUCGAAGCAAUCGAUCUAGCAGAAAGUAAAUAAAACAUGGAAUCGUAUAAUCGUUCCAAAUGGGAAAGGUUUGACCUUUUUUCUUUUCUUUUUUUCUUUUUUUUUCGGUGCCGAAUUACACGAUGUCAUUCGAAAACGGAAAUCCCUUGUCGUCGCACGCUGUUCGACGAAAGGUGCACGAUAUCGAAUAACUUACAUUUUUCCAGAUGUGGAAUUCGUUUUAUAAUUUAUAUCCCAACUAUUCGUUAUUCGUACGAAAGCUCAUCUUUCUCUGGAAUAGUAUCCCUUUAUUUUGGCAUCCCAAUUCUUAAAAUUUUAUUGGACCUCGAAGAUAUUAAUCGGGAGGAAUUAAAUAUUUUCGGGAUAAUCCGAAAAUCUUUCGAAUUGCGAGGAGAGAUAAAUGAAUGGAGUAAUAUAUUGGGAUAUUGGAGAAAUCGAAGGAUUGAUCCCUUUUACACUUCUGUUCUGUUUAAACUUUCGAAUCUAAUUACUUCUCCAUUAUUCCAAUUCCAAAACUCGUCGAGAUUGUCGACGAAUCCCCCACCAUUUCCCACCAUUACGACUCGACUUUUCUUAUUAUCCGACCUCUCCUCCACGAGUCUCUCCCUUUGUCAAAAGAAAUAUUCCAAGGCUGGCCACGGAUUCCGAUUUAAAUUUCACGAUUACUUAUAAAUAAAAUUGCGAAUCGAGAAGAUAGCCGACACCUGGAAUAAAGAAGAAUACUCUCGAGCGUGAAAUGAUAUUCGAUGUAAUAAAAUAACUCGAAUUCCUUCGUGGAGAAAGACAGAAAGAGAGAGAGAGAGAGAGAGGGAGCGAAAGUUCCGUCACGGGUCGCGAAAAAAUAUGUAAUUUCCACUCUUGCCAACGAUUCGACCAGUUUAACACGCGAUUGCUAAUUUUUCCUUUUUCUCUUUUCGUUCUUUUCUUUUUUUCCAUCGCGACACGUCGUUAAGUCUUAACGCUCGUGAUAUGCUAAUGGGGGAAGGGGGGAGGAUAUUUGGAAGGGAAACUUGGAACGAAACUGGACGAGAACUUCGGAUCGAGAACUUUAUCUCGAUUUGCCUUCUCGAUCAGAUUGUUUCGAAUAGAAAUAUCGUUGGCAGAACGUGUCGUUGAUCCUCACACGCGAGAGGAAAGCGAAUAUGGAAAGUCGAUAAAAUUGUUGUCCAUGUUUGUUUGUAAAAUUGAUUUAUUCCGAAUCGAAUAUUCAUACGAGGUUUAUGUAGAGGGCUGAUAUGGAAUUCGAUCUGGAAUUAAUUGUUAUUGCUUCUUCUUCUCCUUUUUUUUUUUUUUUAAUAAUUCUUUUUAUUUAUACGUUCGUUAAAUCUAAUUUUUACGUUGUAAUGUGAUAGAUAGGGAAUGUUAAAUACGAAUUCUUAAUAAAAAUUAGUAAUGAAGAAAAUUCUUCGACGUUCGAACGUUAAUAUUUGUCAAAAAAAUAAUCUGUAGCAGGAUUGAUUUUGUCACUAUAAAAAAAAAAAAAGAAAAAAUACAUAUAUUUGUAUAAAUUUAAUAGCAUCAAUCCAAAUCGAAUUUUUGUUAAAUAAAAAAAAAAUACGUAAUAUCUAUAUUCAAUAUUUUAAAAACAUAUUCCGAUAAAAUCCAUCAAAAAUCAAUUUACAUCCGUAAUAUUGUUAAAUAUUAUUAAAUAAAAAUUCCGAAAAAGAAUCAACGGUUAAUAGAACGAUAUACGAAAAAAAAAAUCCAUUAAACUCAACAAUUUAAAUCUAAAAAUUUAAACGUAAAAAAAUUAAAUAAAAAAAAAAAGAAAUAACAUAUUUGCCAAAUUACAAUUAUAACUACCAUCUUCAUAUAUACCGCUCCAUAAAUAUGUGCUCCAUAUAUCGUUGAACAAAAUUAUUCGAGUUCGAAAUAAGAAUUAAACGUGCAACUCAUUCCUCCCCAACGAGUGGAAAUCGUUCUUUCGCACAAUGUAUCCGAAAUGUACUCCAAGGAAUUAAACCCUGGAAGAAUUCGCAAAUGUAUUCAUCGUGGCAGCAACAAAAGAUCAUAUUUCCCAUUCUCUCUCUAUUCCUCGACAAAGGAAGGACCAUCCCGCGAGCAAGCAGCAAUCUCGAGCAGGAAUCGAGGAGCCCUACCUGUUUCCCAAUUUCCAAUCCGUCGAGUCGUAAGAUCGGAUCUCAGAAGGGCCUCGAUUCGAGGACGUUUCACGAUAUUGUCGGUCCCCGCCGCCGGGGCCCCGUCACACGAUCUCUCUGUGAUCCGUUCUGGUAUUUCUGUUGGGAUCGUUUGGCUUGGUGAAAUAGAGAAUGGAAAAUUUACGGACAAAUUUUAAAAAGGAUUGAAGAAGAAAUUGGCGGAAGACUUUGAAAAAGAUGAAAAAGAAUCUCUCCUCGCUCAUCCAUUUUUCUGCAUUAGAUAUUUAAGAAUUAUAUUUAUAGUAAGUUUUAAAAAAAUUAACGAAAUUCAUGGAUAUGAUAAGACGACAAAAUCGUUAAGACUGAAAAGUUUAAUAACUUUUGUAAAAUUUCGAAGCAAUUUCGACAACUCCAUUGAUUAAAAGUUAUAUGAAAAAUCAAAACGCACCGUGUUAAAGAGAACCUGUUGAUGAAAAAAGAAGAAAAAAGAACAAACACCGUGCAGAAUCUCCGAAAUACUACUAGUAAAUAAAAAGCGAGGUGGAAAGAGGAGUAGCCGCGAAACUCGGUCGAAAAUGGAAUUUCUCAGGGCAUCGGGUGACGACAAUCCCCCUCCCCCUGGCUUGGAACGAGCCACGAGGCAGGGGAAAAAUCUGGAGAAUAAGGGGACCGGAUAAACCCGACCUCGAGACGAGACGAGAAGAGGAGAGGAAGACGGAGAGAGGCGACAAAGCGGGGUACAAAAUAGAGAGGAGUGGAAGAGAGAAGGAAAGAGAGAAAGAAAAGUUGAGAUAAAUGGAUAGAAAGGGAGGAGAGGAAAAGAUGUCGCGCGCUACGGCUACGGUUUGUCCGAGAGAUGUUAUCAUCGCGGAGGAGGAGGAGGAGGACAGGGGCGUAUACGAUGAAAAGGUGGCCAGGAACCUCUAACCGGACCCCCUCCCUUAACAAUCGCAUCGCGCAUUCUUCUCCUGCGAUCCGCUCGGCCCGAUAGUUUCGACAGAGUUGCAAUUUGCUCGAUGCGGUUGGCGCGCCCUUUCCACUCUUCCUUCCAACCCCGGUAUUGCAACGGUACGGCAUCCUCGACAACAACGGCCGUGGACGACAAUGAGAUUCUUAUCGGACGUAUCGGAGGGGGCCGUUCGUCCCCUUGUGUGCAGCUGCCUUGAUUGUGCUUAUCCCCUUUCAACAAGCAUAUAUUCCGCGUUUCUCGAGUCUCUUCUCCCUCCUAGGAGAUCCUCGCGCGCGUCUUUUCACGGCGGGUAUAAACGAAGUAUAAAUACGGUUUUAGAGUGACAUUUGAUUAAACGUUUCUUCAGAGAAGUAAUAACCGAAAAGUUUCUUGGAAUAUUUCUCGCCGGAUAAUCGUCAACGUAUCCCCAACUUUUAUGGGAAACCAAAUAUUUCCAAUAUUUCCACGACUCCCGUUAACCGAGUCAAUCUCGUGUGCACGCGCUCGAUCUUGCUACGCUCGUGUAAUCGCGUCGGUGGAUCGCACGAGAGGAGAUCCUCGUGACGAGCUAUUGACAAACAAGUUGGUAAUUUACUGGACGCGGUCGUGGCGGAGAACGAGCCGCAGUCCCUUAAGCCUCGUCCACAACGGGUGCAAGAUCGGUAUCGGGAAAGGGAACGCGUGUGCGAGUAAAUUCUCUUGUAGCAGAUCCGUGUGGGUCGUCGCCUCGAAAAGAACUAUCCGCCGAUAAAGAAAGAAUGGUUCUUUAAUAAAUAAUGGGCGUAGAGACCGUGCGUCCCAUUGUGAAGCGGUUCUCUUUUGGUUCCAGUCGGAGAAACGGAUUUUCUUCUCGAUUUCCGUUUCUCUUUCUUUCUCUCUCUCUCUUUGGUUUUCUUAUGGAAACAAGAUUUUAGUUAGCAAGUUCGACGAGCAAAAUUUACACGUAAUUUUACAUAUUUUACAUAUUGUGAUACCAGUUGCGAUCUAAUAAUACGAUGAUGGAGAAGAAAUAUUAUUGGGAUCGUAAUUUUCGAGACGAGAAUUUUAUUUGUUGAAUAAUCACGGAUACAUCCAUAUGCAUCGUUUAGGAUUGGUUGUAGAUAGAAUAGAAUUUGUUACAAUGGGAAAAAUAUCACGUUUCCCCUAUCGUUUUCACCUAUUAUCCAUCGUUAAGAGGAAAUCUUUUUCCUUUCAUCCUCGAAAUACCUACCUGCACACUCGCCAAUCUUUCGAAUACGUAAGAGCUACCAUCCUUGGAAAGGAAAACCCGCCCAGAUCUUUGAAUCUUCCUAAAGGAAUGUACAUCCUUUGGAUAAAACGAUACAGUUUUACCCAAAAACCGACCUUACCUCUGUUUCCAAUCGUCCAAAGGGAGAAGACACCUCACAAUGGAGCCAUCCUUCCCAAUUGCAAAAAAAAAAAAGAAAAAAGAAAGGACAGCGAAAGACGAAGGGAAAAAAUUAGAGAAAUAAUUGGACGGGCACACGGAUAAACGAUGUCGAAGGAAGCGAUGAUGUCGAAAGCUCGAAGCCAAGUUCCUAAGUUCCUUCCAUCGAGUUCGCCUGAAGUUUAAGCGUUCAGAGCGGAAGGAUCACUUCCCUCGGAAUGUCUGUCUGGGGCAAGAAAGAGGUAAGAAACAAAAAGGAAGGGAAAAAGGCUCGACCAAACUUAACAUCCCCGCUCAUUAACCAUCGAUUAUACCGCGAAUUCUUCGAUUAUUGGAGACUAUCGGCGGAUCGAUAAAAUUAAACUCCAUAAUAACGAUUCCAUUUUUCUUCUUCUUCUUUCUUGGCCAAUGCUCGAAUUUUAUUAUGGCCGCCCGAUUAAUCUCUCUCUCUUUCUUAAGAAAAAGCGGAAUUGUUCUUUCUUAUUAUUCCAAUACGCUUCGCUUCUUUUCGAGAGGGAGGGAGAAAGGAGUGGAAGGAGAAAGUAUAUAGCGCAACGAUUAACCUGGCCGAUCUUUUAUGCAUUCACCCUGUCCCGCGAUAACGUCUCCAUUUUGACGGAGUAGUUUGAGGUUAUGUGUGUCGCGUGAACGUGUUUAAUGUUUGCGCAAGACACGAAGAGGAACUUGACUUGUAGCAUAAGCUUUUCGAGGACGACGAUGAGGAUCGAUGAAUUGCAAAUUUUUUUUUCUUUUUCUUUUUUCUGAGGUAAUAUUCAGGUUGGAAGUAUCUAUUAGGGAUAAUCGAGUGACGCGUGGUAGUCGAUUAUUCUUGCUGAUUAUUCUGCUCAAAGUUGCUUUAAUUAACGAACGAAUUUUAAUAAUAAUACAAUUUUUUGUACAAAGAAUAACGUUAUUUCUCUCUCUUUCUCGCUAUUUGAUAUUGCGCUUUUUUGAAUUGUUCGAAAAAAAGCAGCGAAAAUACGCACAUUUUUAAUCGGAAAACCAAAUAAAAAAGCGGUUUUGCGGUAACGUGGAACUGGUUGACAGUAUUAUUAUUACAUUGGAAAAUUGCUUGCACGGUAAAAACGGGAAAUGUGAUUUCAUCGUAUGAUCCUCGAUCAAUCCUCUAUGGUUCUCAUUUAUUCCAUUCAUUGUGAAAUUUCGUUUUAUUAUAGUUAAUAAAAUCUCGCAUAAAUGUCACAGCCAUUCGAGAGCGCUCGAAACGAGAGAUCCUCUGCACGUGCAGAUACUAUUUUCCAUUUCGCUGUUCAUACAAAGAUGAUCAUGAAAUGGAACAAAAUGGACGACAGAGAGAGAGACCCAGGAUAGCUUUCAUAAUAGAAAAUAAUAAUAACGAUGAUGAGAUUGAAUUACAAUGCUUACAAAUUUUUCCAAUUUUUCAUAGAACCAAUCUGUAAAUGAAUUCACAUUACGUUGCAUUAUUUAUCUAACUUAUUCUAAUAAUUUCCCUUUAAUCUAUUUAUUAUAUAGACUUUUUAACUAUUAUUCAUUAUACGAAUAAAAUUAUAUAUCGAUCGAUUCAGAUUCUUCAGAUUCUCCCUUGUCCAAUACCAUAUCCUUUUUCCAUUCGAUCAACAGACUUUACAUUAUUUUUGUCUAGGGAAUUUCUUUUCCUAUUAUUCCUUAGAAUGUUUUUGAUUCCUCGAUCGAUUCGAAGAAACAUUAAAACGAGAUAUCUCGUCAUCCGUACGCAGUGUAUUAAUUGUUUAAAAGGAGAGGAUUUCUGCUCCCUUUCUCCUCGUUAACCUACCAAUCUCUGCUACUUAUUUCCACCCUCACCAGCCCGGUGCAAUCGAGCGUCCGCGGUUUACGAGGUUGAACGAGGCAGCAAUGAAACAUUCUUUCCGAGUCAGCGACAGCGAAAUCAGCGAUGGAGCAUCGCUGCUGGAAACCGUGGAACCCAUAACUGGAAAGAUCCAAGUUUGCUAUAAACGUUUCCCUUUAAGGGUGAUUCCUUCCCUUGGAAAAGGCUACGAAUUCGAUACGGAACACGCUUUUUAGAGGGAAUAAUUCAACGUUUCCUUGGAAAGUAACUCUUACGUGAGCCGUCUUGCGAUAAGACUGUAUUUUUUCUUCUUAUUUCUUUUUUCUUUCCUAAAUCCAAGCGCAAGAUUCGAAAUUUGAUAGCUUCUCCUUCGAGGAGAUGCACUCUUUUCCAAUUUUCCUCCCUUCGAUCGAAAUUAAGAUGAUCGAGAAUUAAAGAACCCUCCUUCAACGAUUUUCCUUCUUUGGAAAACUUAAAAUUUUGACGAACGGACAAGGAGAAAGCGAUGCUCGGACUUCUCAGCAGAUUGAGACAUGAACGAAUUCAAAAUCACGGUGAUUCGUUUUUCUCGCAUAAUCGGCAAUUCGGAUAUUAGAGGCAAGAUUGGAAUAAUCACAGUGACGCGUGUAAGGUUAAUGAUAAGGCGGGAGAGGGGAGGGGGAAGAGGUGUAAAUUACUCAGGGGCUUGGACUUCUUCGCCGACUUACCGAGAAACGCAUUAAUGCACCGUAAUGCAACUUCUGUUCCCUCUGUCGUUGAUGUAUGCACGCAAUAAAUCAUCGCGAAUCUUAUUUGGACGAGGUUACAGCCACCGGCCUCGUUCAACAGGUCUAAUUUGCGAGAGGCAUCGUCGUUGCCUCUCUCGAGCACCCAUCCAUUCCUUCCUUCCUUCCUUCCUUCCUUCCUCGCACAUUCCUAUCCUACGUCUUUUUGCAUCACCGGUGGAAAUGCUCGCCUCCUCUCCCUUUUUCAAUAAUAAUGAAACCGCGCUCGUUCCUCGAUUGCCUUCGUAAUUAAAACGGGACGAGGAAGAGAGACGGUUGUAUUUAAUCAAAUUGGGGAUGAAGUCCAUUUGUUUUCUCGUUGAUAGUGUAUAUGUAUAUAUAUAUUUUUUAAUCUGAUUUUUCUCGUUCCUCGAGAGAUGAAAGUUAGGGAAAGUUAAUUUUUGAAACGGGGGAGAGUUUUUUAUUCGAAACAUAUUUAAUUCGUGUUAUUCGUUUUUAGAAAAUUUUUCUCCUCGUUAAUUAAAUAUUUUCGCGCAUAAUUUCAGGAGGUACCCUGCCAGGCGUACAAUGACGCAACAAAGAUGACAAAUUCGAUUUAUUUCCCAUAUUUCGUGCAAAUCGGGGGGGAUAAAAUGGGGAAAGUUAAGUCGAUCCGGAUUCGAACGCACGGUUUAUCGUCUAAAAGUGAAAAGCCGUGCGUGCAUAGUCGGUGUGCGUAGGUUUCAUUGAAUUCUACGGCAACCCCCCUCCCAUUCAUGCUUUCUCGCGGGAUCCAGCGAUGGGAUCGAGCAUAUCACGAGUAACCGAUGAACGAGUAUCUCGGAAAAAAGAGACUUUCACAUAGAAAAGUGGAAUUAAACGUGGAAUAGGAAUCAAUAAUCGAGAAUAAUCUUUUUUAACAAUUACAAUUUAAAUUCCACGAUGUACUUUUCUCGAUCGUUGUGCACGAGAUAUUCUAUUCGGAAAUUUGAAAGAAAUUGACGAGCAUUCGUUUCGAAAAAAAUAACGCUCGAUUCCUUUCUCGACCAGAUUUGUCUCGGAUCUGUGCCGCUCGAUCCCAUCACUACCCGUCACCCUUCUUCCUCCGUUUCGGCCGACAGUCAUACAGGAGGCUGGCCGCGUGUGUAAAUUAGGAUAUGGAGCGUAACCGUCGAGUAAAACUGGUUUCAACGCUGGAAUCAAUGGGGGGGUUCCCGAUCCGCGCCACCUUGACGCGCGUGUCACGUGGAUGGCGUAUUAAUGGCGGCUGGAAUUCCAGUUACGAGUCGUGAUUCAGAGUAGGAAAUUCUCGAGGUGGGAACUAAUUCAAAUGGAAACAAGGUAUUCGCUUCUGGAUAUAAGGAAAAGGAAAAAAAAAAAUAAUAUAAAAGAUUUCACGCAUUCGUUUCGAAUCCGGUUUCAGGUAAACAGUUGAAGAUAAAUAUCGUAGAGUUUCGUAUCGAUAAAGCGGAUCAUCAAACGAAGUGGAUAAUAACACUUUCUAAAAUUUCCAUCCGCGGAAAUUUAAUUUCAUAUCCAUUAUUUAAAAUUUAAAAAAAGGAAUUCUUUAAAAUUGAAUCUCUUUCUUUUCAAACAAUCCUUUCUCGCAAAAUAACUUUAUCAACCAUCGAACUUUACCGCAAAAAGAGUCGAAAAUCUGUGGAAAUCUCGCAUCCACCGCACCAUUCAUCCUCCCGUUUCAUUCAAUUCUCUUUAUUUUUUUUUUUUUUUCGUUCUUUCUUUCUUUCUUUUUUUCUUUCUUUCAAUGGAAUUCACGAAGGAAAAGAGUUUCGAAGGGAGAAUUGACCGAUAACGAGAUUGGACGUACCGUUUGACUAAUCGAGAUCGAAAACUGGAUCAGCGUUUAAUUAAUUCCCGGCCGAUUGAAGCGUGGAACGAUCCUUCGAAUCGAAAAUUUGCCGUGGAAAUAUUAACGACUCGAACCGAUUUCCACGAACUCCAACUUGAUCGAAUCGAGCCGCGAAUUAGAUAAAUUUAAAACAAUCGUCAACAAUUGAUAACUCCCCUAUAGAUCCACUCAGAAACGUUUCGACGAGAAAUGUGGAUCCCGCUUGAUUUACUUGCAGAUAUAUCAUUAGAGGAAAUUUUAUAUUUCAAAUAAAUCGUGUACGCGGCAAUUAUUUAUUCUCGAGUUAAAUUUAAUUUGUUGAAAUUUAAAUUAGGUAUAUUACGAUUGAGAAAAAGAGAGGUUAUGAAUCGGAUUUUCACUUGUCAGGUUUAAGGGGAUUUCUGGGAGAAAGUUUUUUUGGUCCGUGAAAAAGCGGGGAAAGAUGAGUGGUGGGGGUCGUUUAAAGAACGCGGUUAACAAGGAUAUUAAAAGAAAGAAUCGCGCGUAAUGGCCGGUUUAUCUUUUUGGCAACGCGUUUUCAUUGCCUCGUUAAAAGGUAGUGGCUACUCGAAGAAAACGUUAAAAAAGAUCGUAACGCUACAUAAAGAUAAAAAAUGGCGGUGUUUUAAACGGCGUGCCAGUUAUGAGUUGGAUUCUUUGCUGGGUAUUUAACCUGUGUCGAGAAUUUGUGAAGUGUCGUUAACGAUGAUAUAACGAUUAAUUCGGGCAACUUUUUAACGCGAGGGAAAUUCUUUCAAUAAUUUCCCAUUCGUUCGUCCGUUCAAUUGUAAAAUUAUCUUUGAUUAAAUUAAUUAAAAUAUUCUCUUUUCGAUUUAACAAAUAAUAUAUAAACGUAUAAUGAGUCGAUAUGGGAUACGAUUCUUGAAAAUUGACGGUGUUCCAUAGAACGUGAGAAAGAUUCGAUGUGUUAUGAUUCAUUUCUUUCAUUUCUUUCCACGAGUGACCCUUCACCUUCGAUUAAUUCAAUUAUCGCCGUAUGCUUAAUUGAAAAACAAGAGAUAAGAAUAUAAAAAGAUAAGAAAAAAAGAAUUAGCAGGAAAUAUUGAUAGAAUCGAAGAUCAUCCAACGCACAACGUGGCGAUUCAUGGAUGCCAAUCGUCUCCAUUCAUCCGUAUGAUUCGCAAUUUCCUCUUUGAUAUCGAAUUUUUUGCAUUCAUUGCGCUCAAUGAACGAAAGAAAAAAAAGUCGAAAUAGCCUUUAAAGAGAAAAAUCGCCUCGCCUUCUUCCUACGAAUUUUAUCUUACUUCUAAGGCCAUCGAUGCCAAGACACCAUAUCUCCUCCUCCAUUAAUAACCAAGUUGUUCGUUAAUAUUUUUAUCUGGCCACGAUAACGGAUCCGACGUUUGGUCAACGUUUGGUGCAUUCAAGAGCCGUAAUUUUUCCUUCAAAGAGGAGCAGAAAAGUUGUUUCUAAAUUUGGAAGGGCAGGAGAUUUGGGAUAGGAAAUUUUUAUAGGAAAAUAAAUAGAAAAUUGUAUACAUUUUAAAAUAUAUUUAUUGAAUUAAAGUUACAAGAAUAAAAUCUAAAAUUCUUAAUCUUCAGUUACAUCUUCUUCCCGAAUGUAAGAUAACUCUUCGUCCCUUCUUCCCAAGGAAAAUCUCGAGCAACAACAAUAUCGUUAACGAGGAACAAAAUUUAGCCUCUCAUCAAUUACAUUUCUCGAUCCAUAAUUGGAUUUAGCAGACGGUUCAGACUUGGAUCGACGUGCAACAAUAAAUAUACAGGUAUUUUCAUUAUCGAACGUCGACAGCCAGCCGCUCGUAAAGUCUUCUCCGGAACGAGCCACGAUGAUUUACUCUCUUUUUCUCCUUCCCCCCUCUCUCUCUUCCCUCGGAUGCAACCUAUAUUUUCUUCUCUCUUUCUCUCUUUCGAAUAUAUUUUUUUCGACGAUCACGGACCUGCGUAAAUUUUUUUCACAAGAAUGCCAGGUUAUAUUCGUAAUUACAUUGGAGAUAUACAUACGGGUGUAUUGCAGUGUUGGGUCGAGGCAGGGUUGGCAGCCACGCCUCGCUUAUUCUUCCUGAAAACCUCUGUCAUUCCACCAGCUGGCUCCAUCGACGUGCCUCGUCCAACUCCUCUCCACCCACAAUGGCCUGUAUAUAUUUCUAAUUAAAGGCCGCCGCGUUCUUCCUCCAUCUUCCCCGCCAUCAAGAUGCAACGAGUCGCCUCUAGCCGGAAGGAAUAAAUGUAAAAAGUUGGAAGAGAAAUUUUUCAUUCAUCGGAUCUUCCUCGAAGCGGAACUCUCGUGUACUAUUAUGAGGAGAAAGUUGUGCAGGAUAUUUUUCUUUUCUUUUUUUUUAAAUAAACGUAUCGAUAAAGGAAGAAUCGUGGUGUGGAAAGGGGGACAAAGGCGAAUGAAAGAUAAUGAAGAGAUAUUUUUUAAAUGUUUUGAAUAUUUCUAAGAUAGGGAAUACGAAUAGAGUAAUUGGAUCGAAAUUUUUGUUUCAACGAUCGAAGAAUGAAUAUAUAUAAAGGGACGAAUAUAUUAACGCUUUAAGUAAGUACAGUAAAAGCCACAUCGAUCGUUGGAAAUGGAACUCAGUUUUCCAAAGCACGAUUAAUCUCGAUAGAAAUAUAAAAUUCCAUAAAAUUAAUCGAGCAAAUUGAAAAUAGAAACUUUUCGCGUCGUGUUUAACUCUAAUCUUAUCUCAUCGACCAAGAAAUUGAUCCAUCAAAUCGAGAGAGAAUUUUCAGCAAUCAACACGGUUACGAACACGGUUUCAACGAGGAAAAUAACGAAAAAAGAUUUUCCUCGAAUAUGAUCCGAUAAUUUUAGAAAACUUUUAUCCGGGCGGAUAAUAAUGCGGCAACCGCAAUGAAAUAUCAAACAGAGAGAGCUCGUUUGCAUGACUUCGGUGCACGAAUCACAGGCGAUAUUAAAUCGCAUGAAUAUUUAAAAAAUAUUCCCUCCUCCACGCCCGUCAUGGAAACUCCUCUCUUUUACGUUAUUAUCCACUUUUUGGCUUCAUUAUAAACGCGCUUUUUAAUCGGCCUAAACUGUCCUCCUCCUCCUCCUCCUCCCCAAACUUCCUUCUCCGCGUGGCUUUCAGACGUGGCCAUUCCUUUCCAUUCUUUAAUCUUUUUCACUCGAGAAAACUUCUUCUUCGAUAAAACACCGUGGAUUAAUAAUUCAUCCAGUUCAACACUUUUCCCCCCUUUUUUUUAUCUCGAUCGUUUUGCAUUAAUUCGAUCCACGUUUCAAGACAGAUUGUCCGGAAUCCGAGUCGAAAUUAAUAAACAAGUAUUUCUAUAUAUUUAUGCAGAUAGAUAGGAUUUUCUGUCUGAAUUGAAAUCAUUGCACGAUAUCCAUACCGUCUCGUUAAAUAUACACAGACGAUUAACAUGGAUGGAUAAUUACAUUAAAUUUUUACUCGCCAUUUUAUUAUUUCAGCUCCCCUUUCUCCAGUUCAUAUAUCGAAAUAUUAUAAUAUUUUGAUAGGAAUACGAAAAUAAAUUGUGUAAAUGAUUAAAAUAAAAACAUUUAUUACUCCUCUAUUACAAAUUUGUGAAUCUUUCCAAUUUCAGAGAUACACUCUUUUUAUUACUUCCAUUUAUUUUUAUUCCCUCCCCGAUAUUCGUGAAAAAUCUCCUCUCCCCGAACCUCUUCAUUCUCGCGCCGAUCAUUAAACCGUCUCGCUCGAAACGAAGAGGGAAAAAAAAUAACAAUCGUAUCGUAUUAUCAUAAUUCGCCGAUAGAUAAUCGAUUCCUUCCCUCCCCCGCACGAAAGAAAGUAGAAAAAGAAGGAUGGAAACGAUUUUACGACACGGAGAAAGAUCCCUUUUCCCGCCGCACGUGGGCUCCCCUAUUAAUGCCCCUCCCUUCCCUCUGUUUAACGGAACCAAAAAACAAACGGCGGGCCGGUUCGAACGCGACAAGCAUCGAUGAUUAUCUCUCUGUUUUAUGGAAGCUGGCGAAUCGAACUAGGCAACGCAUUAAACCGGCCGCCGGUUUAAUAUUUAUACGUUUGCAACAGGUGAGAAGCGUGGUCGUCGGUUGGGCUCGUACGGGGGCGCAAUUAAACGAGAAGAGAGAGAGAGAGAGAGGGAAAGGAAAAAAGGGAGGAGAGAGAGAGAGAGAAGGACGAACGAAGAGGAUAAACGAGGGGUCGAGUCGAGCUACUUAUAGUCCACGCCCUUUCGUGCGGUGGUUCUGGAAACGCGAGCCCGAAUUUUUAAGGUAAGGUAGUUUAAAAGUGAAAGUUAGAAGAGCGGGGUCUCCUAGGCGGGGCCGAAACAAUAUUUUUAAACGGUGCCCGAACGCCUUUCGUUUCGUUUCGUUGCGCCUUCGUGGAAACGGAAACGUAAAACGAGGGAUCCUCCCCCCUCGUUUAGUUUGGUUUAGUUUUGGCGCACAAUUAAUUUCCUCGACAAUUGAGGCUGAUAUCGGUAAGUGGCAUUAUUGUUAUUCUUUUUCUUCUUCUUUGUAGCAGGGGAGAAAAGAAAAUUCUUUUUUUGGAUUAUUUGACUCGUGGGGGGAUUUAUAAUUGGAUUAAAUGUACCUUGGAAUGGAAGUUACAGGAACAACGGCGGGUAUUAAUCGGGUUGAAGAAGGAAACGAUGUCUUCCACGGUUAAAUGUACCGGAAAGGAGGGUAAUUAAAGUUUCACGAUAGAGGCAGGUAUCCCCCCCCAUAUCGUUUCUAAUCUUCGGAUCUUCCAGUUCGGACCAAGUUCGAGCGCCUAAGCUAACAUAUCCUAUUCUAUCUGCGAUAGGCAGACAUAAUAGGGCGGGGGAUCGAGAACGUAUCGGCAGCCGAUGGAAAAUCUCGGCCUCAGGAUGACGUCGUUUCAAAUCAAACUAAUUGUGGUGGCCGAUACCACCGCCACCGAUAGAGAGGCAGAGGAUUGUAAUUGCGAGCAAAAUUAAAUAUGCAACGUGAACGAUGCCAAAUGGCCCGGAUACGCACCGAACAUUUAUUGACUCGCCGAUAUUAAUAGCUGAUGAAGGGGAUACACUCGGCUAAGUGAGAUCGAACGAAAUAUCGUCGCUCGUAACGUAACAAAGGAUCUUCAUCUAUAUUCACGAAAGAGGGGAAAUUGAGAAAAAAAUUUUUCGAAAAUUCGAGGAAAUUCGACGACGAUUAUAAGACGAGGAUAUUUAUAGAAUACGAUGGUCAAAAGAAAUUGUAUCUCGUGCUGUUCAGUUAGCUUCGGAUAUUUAAUCACAAAGCUAAUAUACUAACGUAAUAAAUAAUUAAAUUCGAA
This is an RNA transcript of Apis cerana (Asiatic honeybee), 40351 nucleotides long. It is a transcript of the gene named peptidase hillarin, with no coding region annotated. The record is from RefSeq and is a predicted model, not a curated record. Lineage: Eukaryota; Metazoa; Arthropoda; Insecta; Hymenoptera; Apidae.